Molecule: unclassified non-coding RNA, 454 nt
Filed under: Hevea brasiliensis (rubber tree)
Lineage: Eukaryota; Viridiplantae; Streptophyta; Magnoliopsida; Malpighiales; Euphorbiaceae
Source: RNAcentral
UUUUGCUUGUUAGCGGUUGCAUUUUAUGCUUUCUUCUCACCUUUCCUCGGAGGACGCUUUUGGGAGUAUGCUUCUAUUGCAGUUUAUUCUCCAGUGGCAUUGCUUGUUUUUGUUCUUUAUGUUCGGAGUACUGCAAUCAAUCCUGCAGAUCCAGGCAUAAUGUCUAAAUUUGAUUCUGGAAAAAUGAAUGAUACCAACUCAAAGCAUGGAUUUUCUGCGAGAAAUCGGUCUGGAAAAUUUGAUGAACUUAGUAAUGAUGCACGAUCUUCUCUGUCGUCAGCUUCAAGAACAUCCAUUGCUGCUGCUAAAUCCAUCAAGAAAGGUCAACAAGAAGCAGGGAGACUAGGUAAUGAAGUGGUUUCUUUGACCAGAAGUUCCUCUUGUUGUAAAAUUGGAGGAGUUUUCUGCUUUUUAUUUGUGCACGAGGAUUGCCGCAACGAGGAUGGAGCUGCUG